ACGGGAGGCAGCAGCUAAGAAUAUUCCGCAAUGGACGAAAGUCUGACGGAGCGACGCCGCGUGGAUGAUGAAGGCCGGAAGGUUGUAAAAUCCUUUUAUAACUGAGGAAUAAGUAUUAUCAGAGAAAGGUAGUAUGGUGACUGUAGGUUAUGAAUAAGCAACGGCUAAUUACGUGCCAGCAGCCGCGGUAACACGUAAGUUGCGAGCGUUGUUCGGAAUUAUUGGGCGUAAAGGGCAUGUAGGCGGUUUUGCAAGCUUGGUGUGAAAUCCCGGAGCUCAACUCCGGAAUUGCGUUGAGAACUGCAUAACUAGAGUCACUGAGGGGCAAUCAGAAUUCCAGGUGUAGGGGUGAAAUCUGUAGAUAUCUGGAAGAAUACCAAUGGCGAAGGCAGGUUACCAGCAGAUGACUGACGUUGAGGCUCGAAAGCGUGGGGAGCAAACAGGAUUAGAUACCCUGGUA
Molecule: ribosomal RNA, 460 nt
Filed under: uncultured Treponema sp.
Lineage: Bacteria; Pseudomonadati; Spirochaetota; Spirochaetia; Treponematales; Treponemataceae
Description: partial 16S ribosomal RNA
Rfam family: Bacterial small subunit ribosomal RNA
Source: RNAcentral